RNAcentral lists this unclassified non-coding RNA (630 nucleotides) under Hevea brasiliensis (rubber tree). The record is from RNAcentral. Lineage: Eukaryota; Viridiplantae; Streptophyta; Magnoliopsida; Malpighiales; Euphorbiaceae.
AAACAUCAGCUGGACUAUCCUCUCCAUCAACUGGUAUGACAGCCACACGUUCAAUCCACUCUUGAAUGGCAUCUGUAAUGUGAGGGACGACCUGAACAGUCUUCCCCAAAUAAUCUCCUUUUCUCUCCUUAUCAAGAACAGACUGGUAAAUUUUUCCAGUAGUUAUAUUGUUGUCACGUGUCAACUUAAUAUCCAGAAAGCGUUCAUAGUUACCAAGGUCUAGGUCCACCUCUCCACCAUCGUCCAAGACAAAUACUUCUCCAUGCUCAAAUGGAGACAUUGUUCCAGCAUCAGUGUUCAAGUAAGGAUCUAUCUUAAUGGAAGUAACGCGAAGACCACAGCACUUAAGGAUAAGACCGAUACUACUGGCGGUAACUCCUUUACCGAGCCCGCUAACCACUCCUCCUGUAACCAACACAUACUUCAUCUCUGAUUCUCCUCGUCAAUCUACUAAAGAUGGAUUUGAAAUUACCCGCCGCACCGAACAGCAAGCUGUGUGUAAACUUUGCUGAGAUAUGAAGGAAAAGAGAAUGGCAAAGGAGAAGGAAGAAUGGUAGGAGAGAAUGAUGGCGGAAACUUUGUUAGGUAUGAAAUAUGAAGCGAUGGCGGCUUUAUGGCUAUAUGUAUUAA